This 482-nucleotide ribosomal RNA is filed under the name uncultured bacterium. RNAcentral's name for it is "partial 16S ribosomal RNA". It matches the Rfam family "Bacterial small subunit ribosomal RNA", at positions 30 to 507 of the family's 1533-position model. The record is from RNAcentral.
AUUGAACGCUGGCGGCAUGCCUUACACAUGCAAGUCGAACGGUAACAGGUCUUCGGAUGCUGACGAGUGGCGGACGGGGGCGUAAUACAUCGGAACGUGCCCGAUCGUGGGGGAUAACGGAGCGAAAGCUUUGCUCAUACCGCAUACGAUCUACGGAUGAAAGCAGGGGACCUCAAGAGCUUGCGCGGACGGUGCGGCCGAUGGCAGAUUAGGUAGUUGGUGGGAUAAAAGCUUACCAAGCCGACGAUCUGUAGCUGGUCUGAGAGGACGACCGGCCACACUGGGACUGAGACACGGCCCAGACUCCUACGGGAGGCAGCAGUGGGGAAUUUUGGACAAUGGGCGAAAGCCUGAUCCAGCCAUGCCGCGUGCAGGAUGAAGGUCUUCGGGUUGUAAAAUGCUUUUGUACGGAACGAAAAGACUCUUACUAAUAAAGAGGGUCCAUGACGGUACCGUAAGAAUAAGCACCGGCUAACUACGUG